This 719-nucleotide ribosomal RNA is filed under the name Staphylococcus sp. RNAcentral's name for it is "bacterial SSU rRNA". It matches the Rfam family "Bacterial small subunit ribosomal RNA", at positions 80 to 783 of the family's 1533-position model. Lineage: Bacteria; Bacillati; Bacillota; Bacilli; Caryophanales; Staphylococcaceae. The record is from RNAcentral.
UUGCUCCUUUGACGUUAGCGGCGGACGGGUGAGUAACACGUGGAUAACCUACCUAUAAGACUGGGAUAACUUCGGGAAACCGGAGCUAAUACCGGAUAACAUAUUGAACCGCAUGGUUCAAUAGUGAAAGGCGGCUUUGCUGUCACUUAUAGAUGGAUCCGCGCCGUAUUAGCUAGUUGGUAAGGUAACGGCUUACCAAGGCAACGAUACGUAGCCGACCUGAGAGGGUGAUCGGCCACACUGGAACUGAGACACGGUCCAGACUCCUACGGGAGGCAGCAGUAGGGAAUCUUCCGCAAUGGGCGAAAGCCUGACGGAGCAACGCCGCGUGAGUGAUGAAGGUCUUCGGAUCGUAAAACUCUGUUAUCAGGGAAGAACAAAUGUGUAAGUAACUGUGCACAUCUUGACGGUACCUGAUCAGAAAGCCACGGCUAACUACGUGCCAGCAGCCGCGGUAAUACGUAGGUGGCAAGCGUUAUCCGGAAUUAUUGGGCGUAAAGCGCGCGUAGGCGGUUUUUUAAGUCUGAUGUGAAAGCCCACGGCUCAACCGUGGAGGGUCAUUGGAAACUGGAAAACUUGAGUGCAGAAGAGGAAAGUGGAAUUCCAUGUGUAGCGGUGAAAUGCGCAGAGAUAUGGAGGAACACCAGUGGCGAAGGCGACUUUCUGGUCUGUAACUGACGCUCAUAUGCGAAAACGUGGGGAUCAAACAAGGAUUAGAU